AUUUGAGUGAGUGGCGAACUGGUGAGUAACACGUGGGAAACCUGCCCAGAAGCGGGGGAUAACACCUGGAAACAGAUGCUAAUACCGCAUAACAACUUGGACCGCAUGGUCCGAGCUUGAAAGAUGGCUUCGGCUAUCACUUUUGGAUGGUCCCGCGGCGUAUUAGCUAGAUGGUGGGGUAACGGCUCACCAUGGCAAUGAUACGUAGCCGACCUGAGAGGGUAAUCGGCCACAUUGGGACUGAGACACGGCCCAAACUCCUACGGGAGGCAGCAGUAGGGAAUCUUCCACAAUGGACGAAAGUCUGAUGGAGCAACGCCGCGUGAGUGAAGAAGGGUUUCGGCUCGUAAAACUCUGUUGUUAAAGAAGAACAUAUCUGAGAGUAACUGUUCAGGUAUUGACGGUAUUUAACCAGAAAGCCACGGCUAACUACGUGCCAGCAGCCGCGGUAAUACGUAGGUGGCAAGCGUUGUCCGGAUUUAUUGGGCGUAAAGCGAGCGCAGGCGGUUUUUUAAGUCUGAUGUGAAAGCCUUCGGCUCAACCGAAGAAGUGCAUCGGAAACUGGGAAACUUGAGUGCAGAAGAGGACAGUGGAACUCCAUGUGUAGCGGUGAAAUGCGUAGAUAUAUGGAAGAACACCAGUGGCGAAGGCGGCUGUCUGGUCUGUAACUGACGCUGAGGCUCGAAAGUAUGGGUAGCAAACAGGAUUAGAUACCCUGGUAGUCCAUACCGUAAACGAUGAAUGCUAAGUGUUGGAGGGUUUCCGCCCUUCAGUGCUGCAGCUAACGCAUUAAGCAUUCCGCCUGGGGAGUACGGCCGCAAGGCUGAAACUCAAAGGAAUUGACGGGGGCCCGCACAAGCGGUGGAGCAUGUGGUUUAAUUCGAAGCUACGCGAAGAACCUUACCAGGUCUUGACAUACUAUGCAAAUCUAAGAGAUUAGACGUUCCCUUCGGGGACAUGGAUACAGGUGGUGCAUGGUUGUCGUCAGCUCGUGUCGUGAGAUGUUGGGUUAAGUCCCGCAACGAGCGCAACCCUUAUUAUCAGUUGCCAGCAUUAAGUUGGGCACUCUGGUGAGACUGCCGGUGACAAACCGGAGGAAGGUGGGGAUGACGUCAAAUCAUCAUGCCCCUUAUGACCUGGGCUACACACGUGCUACAAUGGAUGGUACAACGAGUUGCGAACUCGCGAGAGUAAGCUAAUCUCUUAAAGCCAUUCUCAGUUCGGAUUGUAGGCUGCAACUCGCCUACAUGAAGUCGGAAUCGCUAGUAAUCGCGGAUCAGCAUGCCGCGGUGAAUACGUUCCCGGGCCUUGUACACACCGCCCGUCACACCAUGAGAGUUUGUAACACCCAAAGUCGGUGGGG
RNAcentral lists this ribosomal RNA (1363 nucleotides) under Lactiplantibacillus plantarum. RNAcentral describes it as "bacterial SSU rRNA". It matches the Rfam family "Bacterial small subunit ribosomal RNA", at positions 85 to 1435 of the family's 1533-position model. The record is from RNAcentral. Lineage: Bacteria; Bacillati; Bacillota; Bacilli; Lactobacillales; Lactobacillaceae.